UUUUAAUGAGAGUUUGAUCCUGGCUCAGGACGAACGCUGGCGGCGUGCCUAAUACAUGCAAGUAGAACGCUGAAGGAGGAGCUUGCUUCUCUGGAUGAGUUGCGAAC
This 107-nucleotide ribosomal RNA is filed under the name Streptococcus pneumoniae. RNAcentral describes it as "partial 16S ribosomal RNA". It matches the Rfam family "Bacterial small subunit ribosomal RNA", at positions 1 to 103 of the family's 1533-position model. The record is from RNAcentral. Lineage: Bacteria; Bacillati; Bacillota; Bacilli; Lactobacillales; Streptococcaceae.